UGGUCAGUAGCUCAGUCGGCAGAGCAAGUGGCUGUUAACCACUGGGUCGGGGGUUCAAGUCCCUCCUGACCAGCCA
RNAcentral lists this transfer RNA (76 nucleotides) under Fibrobacter sp. RNAcentral's name for it is "tRNA-Asn". It matches the Rfam family "tRNA". Rfam says of the family: Transfer RNA (tRNA) molecules are approximately 80 nucleotides in length. Their secondary structure includes four short double-helical elements and three loops (D, anti-codon, and T loops). Further hydrogen bonds mediate the characteristic L-shaped molecular structure. tRNAs have two regions of fundamental functional importance: the anti-codon, which is responsible for specific mRNA codon recognition, and the 3' end, to which the tRNAs corresponding amino acid is attached (by aminoacyl-tRNA synthetases). tRNAs cope with the degeneracy of the genetic code in two manners: having more than one tRNA (with a specific anti-codon) for a particular amino acid; and 'wobble' base-pairing, i.e. permitting non-standard base-pairing at the 3rd anti-codon position. The record is from RNAcentral. Lineage: Bacteria; Pseudomonadati; Fibrobacterota; Fibrobacteria; Fibrobacterales; Fibrobacteraceae. RNAcentral also lists the same sequence under 4 other names.